RNAcentral lists this long non-coding RNA (1279 nucleotides) under Oryctolagus cuniculus (rabbit). RNAcentral's name for it is "lncRNA (ENSOCUG00000039134.1)". The record is from RNAcentral. Lineage: Eukaryota; Metazoa; Chordata; Mammalia; Lagomorpha; Leporidae.
GUAAAUUUCCUUUGAUCGAGGAACCCAGCACAUCGCAGGCACAAGUUCAGGCAUAACUGCCUUGUAGCACUGGAUAUGCCUGAUGGGAGAGAAAAUGUGUGUCUCAAGUAAUGUUUUAGGCUACCUUCAAACUCCAGUUCCGUCAUUUUACAAAUUGAGAAAUUUAUUAGUCAUUAUUUAAAUAUAUAUCCUUACGCAAAUCUCUCAUAAAGAAAACAAGUGAAUGGAACAUGGUUUUUCAGGUGUGAAGGGAGCACUGAUUUUGCAUCUAUGGAGACUGAAAGGAGCCGGUUAUUGUGUAACCAAAACUACGAAGGCUUUCAGACUUGGGGGAAAGAGACAGGAAAGCGCCUGAGGCAUGAUGGGCAAUUCGCAGAUCCCUUCCGAAGUCAAAGGAGAGAUUGCGCGGUGGCAUGUGUACCAGGAUGUGGGGAUCACACAACCAACGUACGGCAAGCCUGCCACACCUUUCCCAGCUGGAAUAUAGGCAUGUGGCAUCAUUUCUGUUUUUUUUUUUCUUAAGAUUUAUUUAUAUGUGAAAGGCAGAGUUAGAGUCUCUAACUUGGUGAUGCCCCCACACAAUUCAGCUCAGCUUCAUUAAGGUUGAAUAUCCACCUCAAUGAUUAACAAGACAUAAGGAGUGAUGUCACGGGGCCAGCACUGUGGCGUAGUGGGUUAACCGGCCACUGCCUAUGUUCCUACUCUAUUUUAUGAAAAGAAGUAUUUCAUGAUUAUAAAUAAGACUUGUGCUAUCUGGUACAUCCUGCUGUACACCCAUUUCUGUUGUUCCACCUAAACUCUCUAGGAUGCAAACUGUGUGAUUUAAACAAAAAUGGUUAUGCCUGUUUAGGGUGGGGAGACUCAGGAGAUGUAAUGAGUUUCAGACACAGGUGACAGGUUGCAUCCACAGCUGAUGCAAAUAUAAAGGGAACAUUGAGGGAAGGUUUUUUUUUUUUCCCCCCUAGUGUAACACUUAAUGAAAAUGAAUGUGGCCUUUUGAAAUAUUCAGAGGCUAUUUAUAGUUUUGUUCACAGACAAGAAGUACAAUUUAGUAUCCUAAUGUUUGAAGUAUAUUAUAUAUAAUUUUCAGUACAAAUGUUAGAACAUAGGUAAUCUGGCAUUCACAUAACUCAGAAUAUAUCCUUCGAUUAGGUAAUUGUACGUAUUCAGAAGAAAACUGUGCUGAAGAGUUUCAAUACACCCAAGUACGCUAGAGAAUGAAAAGCAAGGCGAGAGCGUGUGUUUGCUGCACCUGAAUAAAGUCCCGGAGCAGGAGCCA